GCGAAUUUAUCUUAACGUCACACAUGGUCCGUCACGCCUGACCUGGGUGCCUGAAAGCCUUGAAUUUAAAGGGUUGAGGGUUGGUCGGUGGGGGUCAUGGAGGCUCAAC
RNAcentral lists this small RNA (109 nucleotides) under Simiduia aestuariiviva. RNAcentral's name for it is "t44 RNA". It matches the Rfam family "t44 RNA". From Rfam's summary of the family: This family consists of a number of bacterial RNA genes of between 135 and 170 bases in length. The t44 gene is found between the map and rpsB genes in all species in the full alignment apart from Shigella flexneri. The record is from Rfam by way of RNAcentral. Lineage: Bacteria; Pseudomonadati; Pseudomonadota; Gammaproteobacteria; Cellvibrionales; Cellvibrionaceae.